AGAUUGAACGCUGGCGGCAGGCCUAACACAUGCAAGUCGAGCGGUAGAGAGGUGCUUGCACCUCUUGAGAGCGGCGGACGGGUGAGUAAUGCCUAGGAAUCUGCCUAGUGGUGGGGGAUAACGUUCGGAAACGGACGCUAAUACCGCAUACGUCCUACGGGAGAAAGCGGGGGACCUUCGGGCCUCGCGCCAUUAGAUGAGCUUAGGUCGGAUUAGCUAGUUGGUGAGGUAAAGGCUCACCAAGGCGACGAUCCGUAACUGGUCUGAGAGGAUGAUCAGUCACACUGGAACUGAGACACGGUCCAGACUCCUACGGGAGGCAGCAGUGGGGAAUAUUGGACAAUGGGCGAAAGCCUGAUCAGCCAUGCCGCGUGUGUGAAGAAGGUCUUCGGAUUGUAAAGCACUUUAAGUGGAGAAGGUUGUAACUUAAUACGUUGCAACUUUGACGUUACCGACAGAAUAAGCACGGCUAAUCGCGCAGCAGCG
RNAcentral lists this ribosomal RNA (486 nucleotides) under uncultured soil bacterium. RNAcentral's name for it is "bacterial SSU rRNA". It matches the Rfam family "Bacterial small subunit ribosomal RNA", at positions 26 to 516 of the family's 1533-position model. The record is from RNAcentral.